GAACGGGUGAGUAACACGUGGGCAAUCUGCCCUGCACUCUGGGACAAGCCCUGGAAACGGGGUCUAAUACCGGAUAUGACUGUCCAUCGCAUGGUGGAUGGUGUAAAGCUCCGGCGGUGCAGGAUGAGCCCGCGGCCUAUCAGCUUGUUGGUGAGGUAGUGGCUCACCAAGGCGACGACGGGUAGCCGGCCUGAGAGGGCGACCGGCCACACUGGGACUGAGACACGGCCCAGACUCCUACGGGAGGCAGCAGUGGGGAAUAUUGCACAAUGGGCGAAAGCCUGAUGCAGCGACGCCGCGUGAGGGAUGACGGCCUUCGGGUUGUAAACCUCUUUCAGCAGGGAAGAAGCGAAAGUGACGGUACCUGCAGAAGAAGCGCCGGCUAACUACGUGCCAGCAGCCGCGGUAAUACGUAGGGCGCAAGCGUUGUCCGGAAUUAUUGGGCGUAAAGAGCUCGUAGGCGGCUUGUCACGUCGGUUGUGAAAGCCCGGGGCUUAACCCCGGGUCUGCAGUCGAUACGGGCAGGCUAGAGUUCGGUAGGGGAGAUCGGAAUUCCUGGUGUAGCGGUGAAAUGCGCAGAUAUCAGGAGGAACACCGGUGGCGAAGGCGGAUCUCUGGGCCGAUACUGACGCUGAGGAGCGAAAGCGUGGGGAGCGAACAGGAUUAGAUACCCUGGUAGUCCACGCCGUAAACGGUGGGCACUAGGUGUGGGCAACAUUCCACGUUGUCCGUGCCGCAGCUAACGCAUUA
This 750-nucleotide ribosomal RNA is filed under the name Streptomyces hydrogenans. Its description in RNAcentral is "bacterial SSU rRNA". It matches the Rfam family "Bacterial small subunit ribosomal RNA", at positions 100 to 862 of the family's 1533-position model. Lineage: Bacteria; Bacillati; Actinomycetota; Actinomycetes; Kitasatosporales; Streptomycetaceae. The record is from RNAcentral.